RNAcentral lists this transfer RNA (57 nucleotides) under Uncinaria sanguinis. RNAcentral describes it as "tRNA-Met". The record is from RNAcentral. Lineage: Eukaryota; Metazoa; Nematoda; Chromadorea; Rhabditida; Ancylostomatidae.
AAAGUAGGAUAAUUUAGUCUGCUAGGUUCAUACCCUAGAGGUGAUUUUCCUUUAUUA